RNAcentral lists this ribosomal RNA (253 nucleotides) under uncultured bacterium. RNAcentral describes it as "partial 16S ribosomal RNA". It matches the Rfam family "Bacterial small subunit ribosomal RNA", at positions 524 to 776 of the family's 1533-position model. The record is from RNAcentral.
UACGUGAGGGGCGAACGUUGUUCGGUGUCACUGGGCUUAAAGGGCGCGUAGGUGGUUGUGUAAGUAACGUGUGAAAUCCCUCGGCUUACCCGGGGAAUUGCAUGUUAUACUGCAUGACUUGAGGAUCAGAGGGGAAUGGGGAACUCCAGGUGUAGCGGUGAAAUGCGCAGAUAUCCGGGGGAAGGCCGGCGGCGAAGGCGCCAUUCUGGCUGAUUCCUGACACUGAGGCGCGAAAGCGUGGGGAGCAAACAGG